ACGCUCGACACCUACGGGAGGCNGCAGUGGGGAAUAUUGCACAAUGGGGGAAACCCUGAUGCAGCAACGCCGCGUGAAGGAAGACGGUUUUCGGAUUGUAAACUUCUGUUCUUAGUGAAGAUAGUGACGGUAGCUAAGGAGCAAGCCACGGCUAACUACGUGCCAACGCCGCGGUAAUCUGAGCGGGCUGGCAAGGC
Molecule: ribosomal RNA, 197 nt
Filed under: uncultured bacterium
Lineage: Bacteria
Description: partial 16S ribosomal RNA
Rfam family: Bacterial small subunit ribosomal RNA
Source: RNAcentral